GGGUUGGUGGUGUAAUGGUAACAUGUGUCACGGCUACAGUCGCUCCCGCGGCAAGUCCCAGAUUCAAGUCCUGGCCAAUCUA
Molecule: non-coding RNA, 82 nt
Organism: Phyllosticta citrichinensis
Lineage: Eukaryota; Fungi; Ascomycota; Dothideomycetes; Botryosphaeriales; Phyllostictaceae
Source: the annotation of a GenBank genome assembly